GGAGGCAGAGGGGCUUCGCUAGCAGACGCAGAGGCGAGGCCGCCAGUCGAGGACGAGGAGGAGAUAACAUCAAGAUGCCAAAGACUGAGGAAACUGUGCUCCAGAAUGAUCCCAGUGUAGCAGAGAAUGGGGCCCCUGAGCCUAAAACACCAGGGCAGAGCCAGAAAAGCAAGAGUUUCUGUUUAGAUGACCAGUCUCCUGAGAGCAGACCUGAUGUCUUUUCUGUCACAGAUCUGAUAGAGACAGUUAAUGAAGUUUCCAAGCUGAGCAUUUCCCAUGAAAUUGUAGUAAACCAAGA
Long non-coding RNA from Nomascus leucogenys (northern white-cheeked gibbon), 298 nucleotides. RefSeq lists it as uncharacterized. NCBI's taxonomy places the organism in Eukaryota, Metazoa, Chordata, Mammalia, Primates, Hylobatidae. The transcript has 3 exons. The record is from RefSeq and is a predicted model, not a curated record.